Neopsephotus bourkii (Bourke's parrot) is the source of this 314-nucleotide long non-coding RNA. RefSeq lists it as uncharacterized. NCBI's taxonomy places the organism in Eukaryota, Metazoa, Chordata, Aves, Psittaciformes, Psittacidae. The record is from RefSeq and is a predicted model, not a curated record. The transcript has 2 exons.
AGCUCCAGACUCAGAAACUGUGAUCUGACAACAAUAAUGAUCUCUGGAAAGCAGAAAGUUGUUGAUGCUGACUUCUUGAAAAUUUCAUAUGUCCUUAGGCUUUGCCUUGAGGCUGGGCACUUGACAAGAUGAGGCAUUUCAACAACAAUCUCAGCCCCUUGUGAAACAAGGUUUCUCUCAGUAUGACGCAAAUCUUAGCCUCUUCAUCAGCACUUGUAAAACAGUUGACUCAUACACCUGACUCUUCCUAUGCUUGCUCCUCAUAUAAGAUCACAAGUUUUAUUCUCCCAAAUAAAGAUCAAAGUAAAACAAAA